ACGCACGCUGGCGGCGUGCUUAACACAUGCAAGUCGAACGGAAAGGCCCUGCUUUUGUGGGGUGCUCGAGUGGCGAACGGGUGAGUAACACGUGAGUAACCUGCCCUUGACUUUGGGAUAACUUCAGGAAACUGGGGCUAAUACCGGAUAGGAGCUCCUGCUGCAUGGUGGGGGUUGGAAAGUUUCGGCGGUUGGGGAUGGACUCGCGGCUUAUCAGCUUGUUGGUGGGGUAGUGGCUUACCAAGGCUUUGACGGGUAGCCGGCCUGAGGGGGUGACCGGCCACAUUGGGACUGGGAUACGGCCCAGACUCCUACGGGAGGCAGCAGUGGGGAAUAUUGCACAAUGGGCGGAAGCCUGAUGCAGCAACGCCGCGUGCGGGAUGACGGCCUUCGGGUUGUAAACCGCUUUCGCCUGUGACGAAGCGUGAGUGACGGUAAUGGGUAAAGAAGCACCGGCUAACUACGUG
This 467-nucleotide ribosomal RNA is filed under the name uncultured bacterium. Its description in RNAcentral is "partial 16S ribosomal RNA". It matches the Rfam family "Bacterial small subunit ribosomal RNA", at positions 29 to 507 of the family's 1533-position model. The record is from RNAcentral.